This 351-nucleotide ribosomal RNA is filed under the name uncultured Sphingobacteriales bacterium. Its description in RNAcentral is "bacterial SSU rRNA". It matches the Rfam family "Bacterial small subunit ribosomal RNA", at positions 1032 to 1382 of the family's 1533-position model. The record is from RNAcentral. Lineage: Bacteria; Pseudomonadati; Bacteroidota; Sphingobacteriia; Sphingobacteriales.
UUCAAGGUGCUGCAUGGUUGUCGUCAGCUCGUGCCGUGAGGUGUCGGGUUAAGUCCCAUAACGAGCGCAACCCUUACUGUUAGUUGCCAGCGGGUCAAGCCGGGAACUCUAACGGGACUGCCACCGUAAGGUGAGAGGAAGGUGGGGAUGACGUCAAAUCAGCACGGCCCUUAUGUCCAGGGCUACACACGUGUUACAAUGGUCGGUACAAAGGGCAGCUACACCGCGAGGUGAUGCUAAUCUCUAAAGCCGGUCUCAGUUCGGAUCGAAGUCUGCAACCCGACUUCGUGAAGUUGGAUUCGCUAGUAAUCGCGCAUCAGCCAUGGCGCGGUGAAUACGUUCCCGGGCCUU